AGCGAACGCUGGCGGCAGGCUUAACACAUGCAAGUCGAGCGGGCCCUUCGGGGUCAGCGGCAGACGGGUGAGUAACACGUGGGAACGUACCCUUUGGUUCGGAAUAACGCUGGGAAACUAGCGCUAAUACCGGAUACGCCCUUUUGGGGAAAGGCUUGCUGCCGAAGGAUCGGCCCGCGUCUGAUUAGCUAGUUGGUGGGGUAAUGGCCUACCAAGGCGACGAUCAGUAGCUGGUCUGAGAGGAUGAUCAGCCACACUGGGACUGAGACACGGCCCAGACUCCUACGGGAGGCAGCAGUGGGGAAUAUUGGACAAUGGGCGCAAGCCUGAUCCAACCAUGCCGCGUGAGUGAUGAAGGCCUUAGGGUUGUAAAGCUCUUUUGUCCGGGACGAUAAUGACGGUACCGGAAGAAUAAGCCCCGGCUAACUUCGUGCCAGCAGCCGCGGUAAUACGAAGGGGGCUAGCGUUGCUCGGAAUCACUGGGCGUAAAGGGCGCGUAGGCGGCCAUUCAAGUCGGGGGUGAAAGCCCGUGGCUCAACCACAGAAUUGCCUUCGAUACUGUUUGGCUUGAGUUUGGUAGAGGUUGGUGGAACUGCGAGUGUAGAGGUGAAAUUCGUAGAUAUUCGCAAGAACACC
RNAcentral lists this ribosomal RNA (636 nucleotides) under uncultured bacterium. RNAcentral describes it as "bacterial SSU rRNA". It matches the Rfam family "Bacterial small subunit ribosomal RNA", at positions 28 to 710 of the family's 1533-position model. The record is from RNAcentral.